RNAcentral lists this long non-coding RNA (1203 nucleotides) under Numida meleagris (helmeted guineafowl). RNAcentral's name for it is "lncRNA (ENSNMEG00000011945.1)". The record is from RNAcentral. Lineage: Eukaryota; Metazoa; Chordata; Aves; Galliformes; Numididae.
AGCUACGAGUGCAUCACAAUGGGUUUCAUCCCCCUGCGAGCUGCACUCAAGUCCAGGCUCCCGCAUCUGUGGCCACGUACUGAAUUUUACAUGACUUCACCAUCUCUGAGGGAGAAAUGAGGACAUGAAAUGGGACUGGUGAUUGCAGCACAAAUCCUGCUGGUUUUAAUUGACAAACCAAAAGAUCCUCAGAUCCUAACCCUCUGUUUUGAUAUUUUUAAUGAUCUGAGUGGGGAAGACCCUGUGGACUCAGACUAGCUGACUUCAGAGCUGGUGAAGGAGCUUUUAACAGGCACAUUUCCUAGCCUAGCCACAACAAUCUUUGCAGAAGCGGCAUUGCUGAGUAGAUGGAGCUCCUCUGUUGUGGGAACAGCUUGUGUGCCUGAAGGUCAGGGCAAGAUCAUUGCUCACCUGAGGAAAAUCAAGCUGGCUCCUGCACGUAAUUGCAGCGAAUGGCCACCAGUGGGACGGGGGGAGCAGGGAUGCAGUGCCUGCCUGCUGCGGCUUUAAAGACAGUGCUUGCGCCAUCACCUGGAGGGCUGGCAGGGAGGGCUGCACAAAUCUGGGGAUGCGUUUUCUGGAAGUCCUGAGCAUUUGGCAUCGAGUUCCUGCUCGUUGUCAUUGGGGACCCUGGGCUGAACUGAAUGGUACUGAGGACACAUCCCCACCUGCAUAUGUGGCAGUGUCACCGCUUCCUGAGAAAAAGCAGAGCUGGAGACAGCAGCACACCAUGAGACCAGCACAUGGUGACAACAGCACAUGGUGACAGCAACAGCACAUGGCGGCACUCACGUGCACAGGAGCAUGGGCAAGGGCGAAGGCCACCUGCAGAAGAGGUGCCUUCUGGUUUCAUGUCACAGUGGACGACGGCAAAUCCCAGCCAAAUUGUCAAUGCCUCUGGCACAAGCAGGCAUUGAACUCCUUACCCAUGCAGGAAAUAAGUCUGACCCCUGUGGAAGCAGCUGGACUCUGCAAUGUCUUUUUUAGAUAUGCCACUAGAGGGGAACCAAGAUCUAUAGUAUUUCUGAGGUUUGCAGGGAACAGCGGAAAUCUUCCUGUGAUCCCUGAGCCACAGUGCCCGCCUGGAGCUGCCUGCGCCAGCACCAAGUGAAUGCUGUUCCUCGUUGCUGCUGAAUUCCAUGAGACAGCAAGAAAAAAAUCAAAUGUAUUGACUGCAUUUAUCCCAACCAAUGAUGAGUAAAA